CCCUUAGAUGUUCUGGGCCGCACGCGCGCUACACUGAUGAAUGCAACGAGCUCUACCCUUGACCGAAAGGCCCGGGUAAACUUGUGAAACUUCAUCGUGAUGGGGAUAGAUUAUUGCAAUUAUUAAUCUUCAACGAGGAAUUCCUAGUAAGCGCGAGUCAUCAGCUCGCGUUGAUUACGUCCCUGCCCUUUGUACACACCGCCCGUCGCUCCUACCGAUUGAAUGGUCCGGUGAAAUCUUCGGAUUGCUGACCAAGAUCCAGCAAUGGAGCUUGGUUGCGAGAAGUUGAUUAAACCGUAUUAUGUAGAGGAAGGAGAAGUCGUAACA
Molecule: ribosomal RNA, 327 nt
Filed under: uncultured eukaryote
Lineage: Eukaryota
Description: partial 18S ribosomal RNA
Rfam family: Eukaryotic small subunit ribosomal RNA
Source: RNAcentral